Molecule: ribosomal RNA, 477 nt
Filed under: uncultured bacterium
Lineage: Bacteria
Description: partial 16S ribosomal RNA
Rfam family: Bacterial small subunit ribosomal RNA
Source: RNAcentral
AUUGAACGCUGGCGGCAUGCCUUACACAUGCAAGUCGAACGGUAACAGGUUAAGCUGACGAGUGGCGAACGGGUGAGUCAUGUAUCGGAACGUGCCCAGUCGUGGGGGAUAACUGCUCGUAAGAUCAGCUAAUACCGCAUACGACCUGAGAGUGAAAGCGGGGGCUCGCAAGACCUCGCGCGAUUGGAGCGGCCGAUAUCAGAUUAGGUAGUUGGUGAGGUAAAGGCUCACCAAGCCGACGAUCUGUAGCUGGUCUGAGAGGACGACCAGCCACACUGGGACUGAGACACGGCCCAGACUCCUACGGGAGGCAGCAGUGGGGAAUGUUGGACAAUGGGCGCAAGCCUGAUCCAGCCAUGCCGCGUGCGGGAAGAAGGCCUUCGGGUUGUAAACCGCUUUUGUCAGGGAAGAAAAGGUUCUGGCUAAUACCUGGGACUCAUGACGGUACCUGAAGAAUAAGCACCGGCUAACUACGUG